UAGGGAAUCUUCGGCAAUGGACGGAAGUCUGACCGAGCAACGCCGCGUGAGUGAAGAAGGUUUUCGGAUCGUAAAGCUCUGUUGUAAAAGAAGAACGAGUGUGAGAGUGGAAAGUUCACACUGUGACGGUAUCUUACCAGAAAGGGACGGCUAACUACGUGCCAGCAGCCGCGGUAAUACGUAGGUCCCGAGCGUUAUCCGGAUUUAUUGGGCGUAAAGCGAGCGCAGGCGGUUAGAUAAGUCUGAAGUUAAAGGCUGUGGCUUAACCAUAGUACGCUUUGGAAACUGUUUAACUUGAGUGCAAGAGGGGAGAGUGGAAUUCCAUGUGUAGCGGUGAAAUGCGUAGAUAUAUGGAGGAACACCGGUGGCGAAAGCGGCUCUCUGGCUUGUAACUGACGCUGAGGCUCGAAAGCGUGGGGAGCAAACAGGAUUAGAUACCCUGGUAGUCCACGCCGUAACGAUGAGUGCUAGGUGUUAGACCCUUUCCGGGGUUUAGUGUCGCAGCUAACGCAUUAAGCACUCCGCCUGGGGAGUACGACCGCAAGGUU
RNAcentral lists this ribosomal RNA (548 nucleotides) under uncultured bacterium. RNAcentral's name for it is "bacterial SSU rRNA". It matches the Rfam family "Bacterial small subunit ribosomal RNA", at positions 355 to 895 of the family's 1533-position model. The record is from RNAcentral.